GAGUUUGAUCCUGGCUCAGGACGAACGCUGGCGGCGUGGAUUAGGCAUGCAAGUCGAACGCGAAAGUUUCCCUUCGGGGGAAUGAUUAGAGUGGCGGACGGGUGAGUAACGCGUAGGUAUCUGCCUUUAAGUGGGGGAUAGCCCCGGGAAACCGGGAUUAAUACCGCAUGUGGAACUUCGGUUCUAAAGAUGGCCUCUGUUUCAAGCUAUCGCUUAGAGAUGAGCCUGCGUCCUAUUAGCUAGUUGGUAAGGUAACGGCUUACCAAGGCGAUGAUAGGUAGGCGGCUUUAACGAGUGGUCGCCCACACUGGGAUUGAGAUACGGCCCAGACUCCUACGGGAGGCAGCAGUCGAGAAUAGUCUACAAUGGAGGAAACUCUGAUAGUGCGACGCCGCGUGGAUGAAGAAGCAUUUCGGUGUGUAAAAUCCUUUUCUUUGUGAGCAAUGCCUGUAUGAUUAAUAGUUUUACAGGAGAGAUAUUAGCAGAGGAAUAAGCUCCGGCUAACUCCGUGCCAGCAGCCGCGGUAACACGGGGGGAGCAAGCGUUGUCCGGAAUUACUAGGCGUAAAGGGCAAGUAGGCGGAAUUGUAAGUCAGAUGUUAAAGGCACCGGCUCAACCGGUGUACGGCAUUUGAUACUGUAAUUCUAGAGUAAGGUGGGGGAAGAUGGAAUUCCUGGUGUAGCGGUGGAAUGCGCAGAUAUCAGGAAGAACACCAGAGGCGAAGGCGAUCUUCUAUACCAUUACUGACGCUAAAUUGCGAANGUGUGGGUAUCAAACAGGAU
Molecule: ribosomal RNA, 782 nt
Filed under: uncultured bacterium
Lineage: Bacteria
Description: bacterial SSU rRNA
Rfam family: Bacterial small subunit ribosomal RNA
Source: RNAcentral